RNAcentral lists this ribosomal RNA (805 nucleotides) under Misophriopsis sp. DZMB415. RNAcentral's name for it is "eukaryotic LSU rRNA". It matches the Rfam family "Eukaryotic large subunit ribosomal RNA", at positions 118 to 809 of the family's 3401-position model. Lineage: Eukaryota; Metazoa; Arthropoda; Copepoda; Misophrioida; Misophriidae. The record is from RNAcentral.
ACUGCCGGCGAUUCUCGUCGCGUGGAAUGUGGUGUUUGGGAGAGCCUCCUCACAGCGAGACGACCAGUCCAAGUCCACCUUGACUGGGGCCACGGCCCAUAGAGGGUGAUAGGCCCGUAAGGCGGUUGCUUUGCUGUGCUGGCUUUUCCCCAGAGUCGAGUUGCUUGGGAGUGCAGCUCAAAGUGCGUGGUAAACUCCACGUAACGAUAAAUAUGACCCCGAGACCGAUAGCGAACAAGUACCGUGAGGGAAAGUUGAAAAGAACCCUGAAGAGAGAGUUCAAGAGUACGUGAAACUGUGUAGUGGUAAACAGAGGGGUUCUCGAAGUUGGAGCUGGAGGUUCAGGUUAACGUGGGUGCCGCUGGUGCGCGAGGGAUCCGCAAGGACUCGUGCGUGCUGGCACGGUGCUCACGGUGGCUGCAUUUCUCCAGCUCUGCACGCAACGAACCGCUAGCUGUUGGACCGAGGACGUCGGUGAAGUUUGUGGUGCGCUCCGGCGUGCGGCAAGCCCGGCUGUCUUGGCUCCGAUGCUGGCGGGUAGCUAAGCAGGCUCGUAGAGCGAGUGUCUUGAUUGGCACGGCUUGCAUCUCGGUUGCGAGUAGGUCGGCGGCCCCUCUGACCCGUCUUGAAACACGGACCAAGGAGUCUAACACGUGUGCGAGUCAUUGGGUUGACUAAACCUAAAGGCGUAGUGAAAGCAAAGGGUACUUGUACCUGAGGGGUGAUCCCGCCCGUUACCGGGGGGGCGCAACCCUGGCGCUUCGCGUCGACCUCGUAUCGUGCGGAGCAGUAAGAGCAUACGCGU